GGACCUUUAGCUCAGUUGGUUAGAGCAACCGGCUCAUAACCGGUCGGUCCUGGGUUCGAGUCCCAGAAGGUCCA
RNAcentral lists this transfer RNA (74 nucleotides) under Lachnospiraceae bacterium KHCPX20. It matches the Rfam family "tRNA". Rfam says of the family: Transfer RNA (tRNA) molecules are approximately 80 nucleotides in length. The record is from Rfam by way of RNAcentral. Lineage: Bacteria; Bacillati; Bacillota; Clostridia; Lachnospirales; Lachnospiraceae.